RNAcentral lists this ribosomal RNA (229 nucleotides) under uncultured bacterium. RNAcentral's name for it is "partial 16S ribosomal RNA". It matches the Rfam family "Bacterial small subunit ribosomal RNA", at positions 568 to 796 of the family's 1533-position model. The record is from RNAcentral.
UGCGUAGGCGGAUUUAUAAGUCAGUGGUGAAAUCCUACAGCUUAACUGUAGAACUGCCAUUGAUACUGUAGAUCUUGAGUACGGUUGAGGUGGGCGGAAUGUGUCGUGUAGCGGUGAAAUGCUUAGAUAUGACACAGAACACCAAUUGCGAAGGCAGCUCGCUAAACCGUAACUGACGCUGAGGCACGAAAGCGUGGGGAGCGAACAGGAUUAGAUACCCUGGUAGUCC